UUAUGUGUGCCCCAGGAUGGCAGGACUAGAUCCCAGGCUCACAACUGUGGAGGUACAAAAGAUUUUUUUCAGUGCUGCUUGGGGACGUGAGACCACAGGAAAUGUUUAUUGGAAGCCGCAAAGAGAUUUAAUUACAGUAGUGAGGAAUUCAACCGGUCCUGGCCUGUUUAUUUCUAGUUGCAAAGGCAAUGAACAUUAUUUUUGUCGUGGCUUUAGUUGUGCCUCAAUUGUGUUGUCUGGGUCCUUGACAGGAGUGGGAUCUUGUGUAAGGUUUUUUGGUUUGGUUUGGUUUGGUUUGGUUUGGUUUGGUUUGGUUUGGUUUUUUGUAACCCUAUUGUAGUGAACGUCACUGAGUCUGACAAAAAGGUUAGAGAAGACUGGCUUAAAGGAAGGACUUGGGGAUUUAGACUAUAAAAAACUGGUUAUGAUGAAGGAUUACUCUUUACCAUUAAGCUUAAAAUUGCACCUAUGUCUUUUUCAGUAGGACCUAAAAAGAUCAUAAAGAAGGCCAAAAAAGAGGAACAACCGAGAUAAAGAGAAGAAUAAUGCUAAUAGGAAUAGGAGUAAUACUGCUUUCUUACUUUCUUCUCCAGUGUCUGGUAUCCCUCAUAGCCCUACAGUUGCCACCACUACCUUUUCUACAUUUGCUACUCACCUAACAGAAUUAAUGGUAGGCAUGUUUCAUAUGCAUAAUGAUACUUAUCCUAAUAUCACUCACUCUUGUUGGCUUUGCUAUGAUAUAGCUCCUCCUUACUAUGAAGGUAUUGCUUUAUUAUCCAGCAAUGUUUCUUAUUCUAAUAGCUCUUGUGGUUUUUGAUGGAAUCAGAAAUCUGGCAUAGGUCUUUCUCUACAUGAAGUUUCUGGACUAGGUACCUGCAUAGUGAAAAAUUCAUAAAGGUAAAAGACAGAGUUUAUGUAAUAAAAUGCUUACUGUUUCCACCUCUUCAUCUUAGUUUAUUCCUCCAAAAGAGGGAUAGUGAGUUUGUUCCAUAGGUCUUACCCCCUGCAUUCAUACACAAGUAUUUGAUAACUCCAAAGAUUUUUGUGUGUUGGUUCAACUUAUUCCUAGACUCAUUUAUCAUCCUUAUGAUGAGCUCUUGGAUCAUUGGGAUGGAGACUUCUCUUGAUACAAGAGAGAACUUGCUAUUGCAUUAACUAUUUCAGUUCUGAUGGGGCUCAGUAUGGGAGGAGCAGCUACAGGCACUUCUGCCUU
RNAcentral lists this long non-coding RNA (1213 nucleotides) under Mus caroli (Ryukyu mouse). Its description in RNAcentral is "lncRNA (MGP_CAROLIEiJ_G0004174.1)". The record is from RNAcentral. Lineage: Eukaryota; Metazoa; Chordata; Mammalia; Rodentia; Muridae.